UGGGGAAUUUUGCGCAAUGGGGACAACCCUGACGCAGCAACGCCGCGUGCGGGACGACGGCCUUCGGGUUGUAAACCGCUUUCAGCAGGGAAGAAAUUCGACGGUACCUGCAGAAGAAGCUCCGGCUAACUACGUGCCAGCAGCCGCGGUAAUACGUAGGGAGCGAGCGUUAUCCGGAUUCAUUGGGCGUAAAGAGCGCGUAGGCGGCCUCUCAAGCGGGAUCUCUAAUCCGAGGGCUCAACCCCCGGCCGGAUCCCGAACUGGGAGGCUCGAGUUCGGUAGAGGCAGGCGGAAUUCCCGGUGUAGCGGUGGAAUGCGCAGAUAUCGGGAAGAACACCGAUGGCGAAGGCAGCCUGCUGGGCCGCAACUGACGCUGAGGCGCGAAAGCUAGGGGAGCGAACAGG
RNAcentral lists this ribosomal RNA (404 nucleotides) under bacterium. RNAcentral's name for it is "partial 16S ribosomal RNA". It matches the Rfam family "Bacterial small subunit ribosomal RNA", at positions 355 to 776 of the family's 1533-position model. The record is from RNAcentral.